Molecule: long non-coding RNA, 532 nt
Filed under: Homo sapiens (human)
Lineage: Eukaryota; Metazoa; Chordata; Mammalia; Primates; Hominidae
Description: HSALNT0185694
Source: RNAcentral
CAAGAUGUCUUGAAGUGACUGAAUGGAGUUAGUGUUCGGCAGGACUGGCUAGGACUGGAAGCAGACCAGAUUUAAUCAAAGCUGUUGAAGCUGCCCAGGGACUGGCUAAGCUGCCACCCUGUUAGUGAGGCCGCUGGGGAGAGGGAAACUGAAGCCUGCACCACGGGGAGCCGUAUACUGGAGUCUGGAAUCCAUUUGCUCCACGCAGGAGGCCUGCAUCUCAAGUCAGGAGGCACUGCCUGGAAAUCUAGCAUCAUGUUGAUACUCUUUGGUGAAGGAAAUGUGGUCCUUGCCCCAAGUUAUCUCACAGUCCCUUUGGGCAAUCUCAUGCAUAUUAAAAAUACCGACAAACAUAGACCCACGAAAGAUCCUGAUCUUUUAGGUCUGUCAUGUGAUAGAGACAGUAAGUGCUCUGUAUAGACAUCAGGAGAUUUUCUUCCCUGAAGGACAAGCUCUUGUAGCAUUUUCCUGCACUGAGAUGCAGUCAUGCUAGCCUGUCUUUCACUCACCAGGGAUGGCAAGGAAGGACCAG